RNAcentral lists this unclassified non-coding RNA (259 nucleotides) under plant metagenome. Its description in RNAcentral is "partial contains small subunit ribosomal RNA, internal transcribed spacer 1, and 5.8S ribosomal RNA". The stretch from base 1 to 55 matches the Rfam family "Eukaryotic small subunit ribosomal RNA", at positions 1777 to 1831 of the family's 1831-position model. The record is from RNAcentral.
GGAAAGUAAAAGUCGUAACAAGGUUUCCGUAGGUGAACCUGCGGAAGGAUCAUUACUGAGUGAGGGCCCCUCGGGGUCCAACCUCCCACCCGUGUUUAACGAACCUUGUUGCUUCGGCGGGCCCGCCUCACGGCCGCCGGGGGGCAUCUGCCCCCGGGCCCGCGCCCGCCGAAGCCACCUGUGAACGCUGUCUGAAGUAUGCAGUCUGAGACAAUUAUUAAAUUAAUUAAAACUUUCAACAACGGAUCUCUUGGUUCCG